RNAcentral lists this ribosomal RNA (253 nucleotides) under uncultured bacterium. RNAcentral describes it as "partial 16S ribosomal RNA". It matches the Rfam family "Bacterial small subunit ribosomal RNA", at positions 524 to 776 of the family's 1533-position model. The record is from RNAcentral.
UACGAAGGGGGCUAGCGUUGCUCGGAAUCACUGGGCGUAAAUCGCACGUAGGCGGAUUGUUAAGUCAGGGGUGAAAUCCUGGAGCUCAACUCCAGAACUGCCUUUGAUACUGGCGAUCUUGAGUCCGGGAGAGGUGAGUGGAACUGCGAGUGUAGAGGUGAAAUGUGUAGAUAUCGUAAGGAAGACCAGUGGCGAAGGCGGGUCUCUGGACAGUUCCUGACGCUGAGGCACGAAGGUCAGGGGAGCAAACGGG